CGACCUGAGAGGGUGAUCGGCCACAUUGGAACUGAGAGACGGUCCAGACUCCUACGGGAGGCAGCAGUGGGGAAUAUUGGGCAAUGGGCGAAAGCCUGACCCAGCAACGCCGCGUGAGGGAAGAAGGGUUUCGGCUCGUAAACCUCUGUCCUAUGGGACGAAGGAAGUGACGGUACCAUAGGAGGAAGCCCCGGCUAACUACGUGCCAGCAGCCGCGGUAAU
Molecule: ribosomal RNA, 222 nt
Filed under: uncultured bacterium
Lineage: Bacteria
Description: partial 16S ribosomal RNA
Rfam family: Bacterial small subunit ribosomal RNA
Source: RNAcentral